UGCCAGCAGCCGCGGUAAGACGGAGGGCGCGAGCGUUGUUCGGAAUUACUGGGCGUAAAGCGCGGGCAGGCGGUCCGUUAAGUCCCCUGUGAAAUCCCGGAGCUCAACUCCGGAAUCGCAGGGGAAACUGGCAGACUGGAGACCGGUAGAGGCAAGCGGAAUUCCUGGUGUAGCGGUGGAAUGCGUAGAUAUCAGGAAGAACACCUGUGGCGAAGGCGGCUUGCUGGGCCGGUUCUGACGCUGAACCGCGAAAGCGUGGGGAGCAAACAGGAUUAGAUA
This 279-nucleotide ribosomal RNA is filed under the name uncultured bacterium. RNAcentral's name for it is "partial 16S ribosomal RNA". It matches the Rfam family "Bacterial small subunit ribosomal RNA", at positions 506 to 784 of the family's 1533-position model. The record is from RNAcentral.